UAGAAAGAAGGAAAUCGAACCCUUUCUGAAGAGAUCAAAACUCUUAGUGCUUCUUCUACACCACUUUCUA
This 70-nucleotide transfer RNA is filed under the name Jenynsia maculata. RNAcentral's name for it is "tRNA-Gln". Lineage: Eukaryota; Metazoa; Chordata; Actinopteri; Cyprinodontiformes; Anablepidae. The record is from RNAcentral.